CCGGGAGGUGAGGGGCGCCUCUGCCCGGCCGCCCCUACUGGGAAGUGAGGACCCCUCUGCCCGGCCAGCCGCCCCAUCCGGGAGGGAGGUGGGGGGGUCAGCCCCCCGCCCGGCCAGCCGCCCAGUCCGGGAGGGAGGUGGGGGGUCAGCCCCCCGCCCGGCCAGCCGCCCCGUCCGGGAGGGAGGUGGGAGGAUCAGCCCCCCGCCUGGCCAGCCGCCCCGUCCGGGAGGGAGGUGGGGGGGUCAGCCCCCCGCCUGGCCAGCCGCCCCAUCCGGGAGGGAGGUGGGGG
RNAcentral lists this long non-coding RNA (290 nucleotides) under Homo sapiens (human). RNAcentral describes it as "HSALNT0306719". The record is from RNAcentral. Lineage: Eukaryota; Metazoa; Chordata; Mammalia; Primates; Hominidae.